Molecule: long non-coding RNA, 1119 nt
Organism: Thunnus maccoyii (southern bluefin tuna)
Lineage: Eukaryota; Metazoa; Chordata; Actinopteri; Scombriformes; Scombridae
Exons: 5
Source: RefSeq, a predicted model, not a curated record
UUACGUGCUUAACUACAGUCAUUGUGUACUGGGCGCUUCCAGAACACAGGUGACCUACGCUCAACCAUGUACCUGAAUGCCUCCUGUAUAAACACAACGGUUCACUGGCGGCUGCUGAUCUCCUGCUCGCUAUGUUUGCUCAAAAGAUUUGUGCUUUGUCUGUAGUGGCGCUUCACAAUCGCCACGGUCUCAGAACAUAUGAGACAAACUAGUUGUGACCUACCCGUGGAAGUAUUUGCUCCGUUUUAUGCGCUUAACUAGUCAUUGUGUAUUGGGAUUUGAGCUCUUCGAAAACGUGGGUGACCUUUGCUCAACCAUGUACCUGAACGCCUCCUUUGUAUUCACUUGCUGAUCUGCUAGAAGUGCUGCUAACACUACACUUUCUGUUUAGAUAUGGGUUUCACAGAGAGGCACCUGGCUUCCCAGAGAGGCCUCCAUCCACCUUCUCCUGGCUACUCCUCAGUCCUCCAUCCCGAGGGACAUGUCUCUUGACCUGGCCUUCAAUCCUCACAGAUUGCUGCUGAGGUCACACAUCCUGGAGUCUAGUGUUAGUUUCCACGGCAACAGAGACAUCAUUCACGUCCUUACCCUUGGCUACCAACCAUCAAGCCCUUUUACUCGUCAGAAUCUGUGUGACCACAUCCAGCAACCAGUUGAACAGUUUUCCUCACUGACAAUACUAACCAAAAGAGAGAUGACUUUCAAAUGAAGGUUCUCAUGAAACUAGAGGAAAUUAUAGAGGAGAAGGAGGAAAUCCUCAGAAACCAACAGCUUACCAUGUCUGCUAACACUGUGGCUUAGGAUGACAUCAUCGAUCAGCUCUGUGAGAAUUACGAGGAGCUCCAGGCCCAAGACAGAAAGAGUUGGAGGAAAAUUAAAGAAGAAGAAAAUGAUUAGAGGCAGUCAGAUGGUUGGAGGAUCAAGAGGCUGUGGAUGUGGAGCUCAAGAGACCAUGUUGACCAGUGUGCGCAUGAUCAAGCAUAAUCACACCCCACACAUCUGGAUAUACUCAUCCCACAUGUACAGUACCAGUCAGUAUAUAUAUAUAUGUAUAGUACAUACAGUAAAAAAAACAAAAAAACACAUGGACACACUUUAUUAAAGCACAUACUGAGACAA